RNAcentral lists this ribosomal RNA (705 nucleotides) under uncultured soil bacterium. RNAcentral describes it as "bacterial SSU rRNA". It matches the Rfam family "Bacterial small subunit ribosomal RNA", at positions 32 to 763 of the family's 1533-position model. The record is from RNAcentral.
AACGCUGGCGGCGUGCCUAAAACAUGCAAGUCGAACGAGGUAGCAAUACCUAGUGGCGAACGGCGGAGUAACACAUAAACAACGUGCCCCGAAGACUGGGAUAUACAGCUGAAAAGCUGGGCAAUACCGGAUGUGGCAGCGUCUCGGCAUCGAGAUGCUAUCAAAUGGUUUUUCGCUUUGGGAGCGGUUUAUGGCCUAUCAGGUAGUUGGUGGGGUAAUGGCCUACCAAGCCGACGACGGGUAGCGGGUCUGAGAGGAUGAUCCGCUCGAGUGGGACUGAGACACGGCCCACACACCUACGGGUGGCAGCAGUUGGGAAUCUUGCACAAUGGGGGAAACCCUGAUGCAGCGACGCCGCGUGGAGGAUGACGGAUCUAGGUCUGUAAACUCCUUUUUCAUGGAAAGACUUAGGACGGUACCAUGAGAAUAAGGACCGGCUAACUACGUGCCAGCAGCCGCGGUAAGACGUAGGGUCCAAGCGUUGUCCGGAUCUACUGGGCGUAAAGAGCGCGUAGGCGGUCUUGUAAGUGUGAAGUGAAAUCUCCAGGGCUCAACCCGGAAACUGCUUCGCAUACUGCAAGACUAGAGGGAUGCAGAGGUAUGUGGAAUUCCUGGUGUAGCGGUGAAAUGCGUUGAUAUCAGGAGGAACACCCAUGGCGAAGGCAGCAUACUGGGCAUCAUCUGACGCUGAGGCGCGAAAGCGUG